RNAcentral lists this ribosomal RNA (493 nucleotides) under uncultured bacterium. Its description in RNAcentral is "partial 16S ribosomal RNA". It matches the Rfam family "Bacterial small subunit ribosomal RNA", at positions 30 to 523 of the family's 1533-position model. The record is from RNAcentral.
AUUGAACGCUGGCGGCAUGCCUUAUACAUGCAAGUCGAACGGUAACAGGUUAAGCUGACGAGUGGCGAACGGGUGAGUAAUAUAUCGGAACGUGCCCAGUCGUGGGGGAUAACGUAGCGAAAGCUACGCUAAUACCGCAUACGAUCUACGGAUGAAAGCGGGGGAUCGCAAGACCUCGCGCGAUUGGAGCGGCCGAUAUCAGAUUAGGUUGUGGGUGAGGUAAAAGCUCACCAAGCCUGCGAUCUGUAGCAGGUCUGAGAGGACGACCAGCCACACUGGAACUGAGACACGGUCCAGACUCCUACGGGAGGCAGCAGUGGGGAAUUUUGGACAAUGGACGCAAGGCUGAUCCAGCAAUGCCGCGUGCAGGACGAAGGCCUUCGGGUUGUAAACUGCUUUUGUACUGAACGAAACGGUGAGCUCUAAUACAGUUUGCUAAUGACGGUACCGUAAGAAUAAGCACCGGCUAACUACGUGCCAGCAGCCGCCGUAA